CUGCUCAGCCUCCUUAGUAGUUGGGACUAGAGGUCUUGUGGAUGAGCAGCAGAAAGUUCGGACCAUCAGUGCUUUGGCCAUUGCUGCCUUGGCUGAAGCAGCAACUCCUUAUGGUAUCGAAUCUUUUGAUUCUGUGUUAAA
RNAcentral lists this small RNA (141 nucleotides) under Pan troglodytes (chimpanzee). Its description in RNAcentral is "processed transcript". Lineage: Eukaryota; Metazoa; Chordata; Mammalia; Primates; Hominidae. The record is from RNAcentral.